Molecule: ribosomal RNA, 497 nt
Filed under: uncultured bacterium
Lineage: Bacteria
Description: partial 16S ribosomal RNA
Rfam family: Bacterial small subunit ribosomal RNA
Source: RNAcentral
GACGAACGCUGGCGGCGUGCCUAAUACAUGCAAGUUGAGCGCUGAAGGUUGGUACUUGUACCGACUGGAUGAGCAGCGAACGGGUGAGUAACGCGUGGGGAAUCUGCCUUUGAGCGGGGGACAACAUUUGGAAACGAAUGCUAAUACCGCAUAAAAACUUUAAACACAAGUUUUAAGUUUGAAAGAUGCAAUUGCAUCACUCAAAGAUGAUCCCGCGUUGUAUUAGCUAGUUGGGGAGGUAAAGGCUCACCAAGGCGAUGAUACAUAGCCGACCUGAGAGGGUGAUCGGCCACAUUGGGACUGAGACACGGCCCAAACUCCUACGGGAGGCAGCAGUAGGGAAUCUUCGGCAAUGGACGAAAGUCUGACCGAGCAACGCCGCGUGAGUGAAGAAGGUUUUCGGAUCGUAAAACUCUGUUGGUAGAGAAGAACGUGGGUGAGAGUGGAAAGCUCAUCAAGUGACGGUAACUACCCAGAAAGGGACGGCUAACUACGUG